ANCGCGCCNUCAUACAUGCAAGUCGAACGCACUCUCGUUUAGAUUGAAGGAGCUUGCUCCUGAUUGAUAAACAUUUGAGUGAGUGGCGGACGGGUGAGUAACACGUGGGUAACCUGCCCUAAAGUGGGGGAUAACAUUUGGAAACAGAUGCUAAUACCGCAUAAAACCUAACACCGCAUGGUGUAGGGUUGAAAGAUGGUUUCGGCUAUCACUUUAGGAUGGACCCGCGGUGCAUUAGUUAGUUGGUGAGGUAAAGGCUCACCAAGACCGUGAUGCAUAGCCGACCUGAGAGGGUAAUCGGCCACACUGGGACUGAGACACGGCCCAGACUCCUACGGGAGGCAGCAGUAGGGAAUCUUCCACAAUGGACGAAAGUCUGAUGGAGCAACGCCGCGUGAGUGAAGAAGGUUUUCGGAUCGUAAAACUCUGUUGUUGGAGAAGAAUGUAUCUGAUAGUAACUGAUCAGGUAGUGACGGUAUCCAACCAGAAAGCCACGGCUAACUACGUGCCAAGCAGCCAGGNNGCCNUA
RNAcentral lists this ribosomal RNA (529 nucleotides) under Latilactobacillus sakei. Its description in RNAcentral is "bacterial SSU rRNA". It matches the Rfam family "Bacterial small subunit ribosomal RNA", at positions 41 to 525 of the family's 1533-position model. The record is from RNAcentral. Lineage: Bacteria; Bacillati; Bacillota; Bacilli; Lactobacillales; Lactobacillaceae.